UACAGAGGUCCCGAGCGUUGUUCGGAUUCACUGGGCGUAAAGGGUGCGUAGGUGGUUGCGCAAGUCUGAUGUGAAAUCUCCGGGCUCAACCCGGAAAUGGCAUUGGAAACUGCGUGGCUAGAGGGUUGGAGGGGGGACUGGAAUACUUGGUGUAGCAGUGAAAUGCGUAGAUAUCAAGUGGAACACCAGUGGCGAAGGCGAGUCCCUGGACAACACCUGACACUGAGGCACGAAAGCUAGGGGAGCAAACGGG
Molecule: ribosomal RNA, 253 nt
Filed under: uncultured bacterium
Lineage: Bacteria
Description: partial 16S ribosomal RNA
Rfam family: Bacterial small subunit ribosomal RNA
Source: RNAcentral